Molecule: small nucleolar RNA, 134 nt
Filed under: Gouania willdenowi (blunt-snouted clingfish)
Lineage: Eukaryota; Metazoa; Chordata; Actinopteri; Blenniiformes; Gobiesocidae
Description: Small nucleolar RNA SNORA3/SNORA45 family (ENSGWIG00000014936.1)
Rfam family: Small nucleolar RNA SNORA3/SNORA45 family
About the family: The members of this family belong to the H/ACA class of snoRNAs which are thought to guide the sites of modification of uridines to pseudouridines. This family includes mouse snoMBI-28 and human homologues ACA3 (SNORA3) and ACA3-2 (SNORA45).
Source: Rfam by way of RNAcentral
AGCGAGGCUAGAGUCACGCCUCGACAUGCUCCCGUUGUCCUGGUGUGCUAGAGUACUCGCAGAGGAAAACUGUCUCUGCUAUUCGUUGACUGUGGCCUGCAGUGGCUCAGCCAAUCACCAGCUUAGAUACACCU